RNAcentral lists this ribosomal RNA (499 nucleotides) under uncultured bacterium. RNAcentral's name for it is "partial 16S ribosomal RNA". It matches the Rfam family "Bacterial small subunit ribosomal RNA", at positions 28 to 507 of the family's 1533-position model. The record is from RNAcentral.
GACGAACGCUGGCGGCGUGCCUAAUACAUGCAAGUCGAGCGAAGUUUUUCUGGUGCUUGCUCUAGAAAAACUUAGCGGCGAACGGGUGAGUAACACGUAAAGAACCUGCCUCAUAGACUGGGACAACUAUUGGAAACGAUAGCUAAUACCGGAUAACAGUAUUUCUCGCAUGAGAGAUAUUUAAAAGUUGGUUAUGCUAACACUAUGAGAUGGCUUUACGGUGCAUUAGCUAGUUGGUGGGGUAAAGGCCCACCAAGGCGACGAUGCAUAGCCGACCUGAGAGGGUGAUCGGCCACACUGGGACUGAGACACGGCCCAGACUCCUACGGGAGGCAGCAGUAGGGAAUCUUCCGCAAUGGGCGAAAGCCUGACGGAGCAACGCCGCGUGAGUGAAGAAGGAUUUCGGUUCGUAAAGCUCUGUUGUUAGGGAAGAAUGGAUAUGUAGUAACUAUACAUGUAAGAGACGGUACCUAACCAGAAAGCCACGGCUAACUACGUG